Long non-coding RNA from Ornithorhynchus anatinus (platypus), 199 nucleotides. RefSeq lists it as uncharacterized. NCBI's taxonomy places the organism in Eukaryota, Metazoa, Chordata, Mammalia, Monotremata, Ornithorhynchidae. The record is from RefSeq and is a predicted model, not a curated record. The transcript has 2 exons.
AGGUCACACUGCAGACAAGUGGCGGAGGAGGGAUUAGAGCCCAAGACCUCUGACUCCCGAGCCCGGGUUCUUUCCUAUCCCCAGCACUUGGCGAACAAAAUGCAUCACUGCGUGCCAGAAAGAGAAAACACACCAUUUUUCAUCUGCUGCAGAACUUUACGGGGGUGAAGCAAAAUAAAGAAGGGGAUCCCUUGGCUGA